AUUGAACGCUGGCGGCAGGCCUAACACAUGCAAGUCGAACGAGUGGCGGAUGGGUGCGGAAUGUCUGGGAAACUGCCUGAUGGCGGGGGAUAACUACUGGCAACGGUAGCUAAUACCGCAUACUAUCGGAUGUGCCCUGAUGGGUUUAGCUAGUGGGUGGGGUAACGGCUAACCUGGGCGACGAUCCCUAGCUGGGCUGAGAGGAGGACGGGCAAAACUGGAACGGGGCCACGGUCCAGACUCCUACGGGAGGCGGAAGUGGGGAAUAUUGGAAAAUGGGCGAAAGCCUGAUGAAGCCAUGCCGCGGGUAUGAAGAAGGCCUUCGGGUUGUAAAGUACUUUCAGCGGGGAGGCGUUACCCACAGAAGAAGCACCGGCUAACUCCGUGCCAGCAGCCGCGGUAAUUC
This 406-nucleotide ribosomal RNA is filed under the name uncultured bacterium. RNAcentral's name for it is "partial 16S ribosomal RNA". It matches the Rfam family "Bacterial small subunit ribosomal RNA", at positions 29 to 526 of the family's 1533-position model. The record is from RNAcentral.